UCCGAGUUGACCCCGGCAGUCUCCUAUGAGUCCCCACCAUCACGUGCUGGCAACAUAGGACGAGGGUUGCGCUCGUUGCGGGACUUAACCCAACAUCUCACGACACGAGCUGACGACAACCAUGCACCACCUGUGCACGGCCCUUACGGACCCCCCAUCUCUGGGAGAUUUCCGUGCAUGUCAAGCCUAGGUAAGGUUCUUCGCGUUGCAUCGAAUUAAGCAACAUGCUCCGCCGCUUGUGCGGGCCCCCGUCAAUUCCUUUGAGUUUCAACCUUGCGGCCGUAGUCCCCAGGCGGUUCACUUAAUGCGUUAGCUGCGCCACCAAAGUUCUAUGAGCCCUGACAGCUAGUUAUCAUCGUUUACGGCGUGGACUAC
RNAcentral lists this unclassified non-coding RNA (375 nucleotides) under uncultured Geodermatophilaceae bacterium. RNAcentral describes it as "contains 16S-23S intergenic spacer region". Lineage: Bacteria; Bacillati; Actinomycetota; Actinomycetes; Geodermatophilales; Geodermatophilaceae. The record is from RNAcentral.